AACGAACGCUGGCGGCAUGCCUAACACAUGCAAGUCGAACGGGACGUUCGUGUCUAUUUGCGCACGGGGGCGUAACGCGGGGGAACCUGCCCGUAGGUUCCGAAUAACUCCCCGAAGGGUGUGCUAAUACCGGUUAGGCUCUUCGGGCCAAAGAUUUAUGGCCUUUGGGUGGGCGCGGGUUGGCUUAGCUGGUUGGUAGGGUAAAAGCCUACCAAGGCGACGAUGCAUAGCUGGUGUGAGAGGAUGCUCAUCCACACUGGGACUGAGACACGGCCCAGACUCGUACGGGAGGCAGCAGUGGGGAAUAUUAGAGGCUGGGGGAAAGCCUGAUAAAGCAAUGCCGCGUGAGUGGUGCAGGCGUUAGGGUUCUAAAGCUGUUUUACACGGGAUGAGAAUGACAGUACCGGGAGAAUAAGCUCCGGCUAACUACGUG
Molecule: ribosomal RNA, 433 nt
Filed under: uncultured bacterium
Lineage: Bacteria
Description: partial 16S ribosomal RNA
Rfam family: Bacterial small subunit ribosomal RNA
Source: RNAcentral